Long non-coding RNA from Asparagus officinalis (garden asparagus), 274 nucleotides. RefSeq lists it as uncharacterized. The record is from RefSeq and is a predicted model, not a curated record. The transcript has 2 exons. NCBI's taxonomy places the organism in Eukaryota, Viridiplantae, Streptophyta, Magnoliopsida, Asparagales, Asparagaceae.
AAAAACAAAAAAAAGAGUUUGGAUCGAAGUUCGAUCCAAAAGAUCGAGAAGAGAAAACUUUUUUGUUUUCAGGACAAACAAACAUGACGUUCUUGAUGAUACAACUGCUUGAGGUCUAUCCUUGAAGCAUCAACACAUGGCAUGAAGUAGCACAGCGUCUUAUUAUACCUAAUGACAGGAAGCCUUAUAUCAUGUCAAUGCAGGUCGAUAUAAUUGUAAUAAUUCUAUCAGAGGAUAGCGAAGAUUCAAAGAAUGGGAGCUCUCAUGAAUGGUU